GCCCCUGUGGCGGAACUGGUAGACGCGGCAGACUCAAAAUCUGUUGCCUUCGGGCGUGCUGGUUCGAUUCCGGCCAGGGGCACCA
Molecule: transfer RNA, 85 nt
Filed under: Alphaproteobacteria bacterium
Lineage: Bacteria; Pseudomonadati; Pseudomonadota; Alphaproteobacteria
Description: tRNA-Leu
Rfam family: tRNA
About the family: Transfer RNA (tRNA) molecules are approximately 80 nucleotides in length.
Source: RNAcentral